UAGGGAAUCUUCGGCAAUGGGGGGAACCCUGACCGAGCAACGCCGCGUGAGUGAAGAAGGUUUUCGGAUCGUAAAGCUCUGUUGUUAAGGAAGAACGAGUGUGAGAAUGGAAAGUUCAUACUGUGACGGUACUUAACCAGAAAGGGACGGCUAACUACGUGCCAGCAGCCGCGGUAAUACGUAGGUCCCGAGCGUUUUCCGGAUUUAUUGGGCGUAAAGCGAGCGCAGGCGGUUAGAUAAGUCUGAAGUUAAAGGCAGUGGCUCAACCAUUGUAGGCUUUGGAAACUGUUUAACUUGAGUGCAGAAGGGGAGAGUGGAAUUCCAUGUGUAGCGGUGAAAUGCGUAGAUAUAUGGAGAAACACCGGUGGCGAAAGCGACUCUCUGGUCUGUAACUGACGCUGAGGCUCGAAAGCGUGGGGAGCGAACAGG
RNAcentral lists this ribosomal RNA (429 nucleotides) under Bacteroidota bacterium. Its description in RNAcentral is "Bacteroidetes bacterium partial 16S ribosomal RNA". It matches the Rfam family "Bacterial small subunit ribosomal RNA", at positions 355 to 776 of the family's 1533-position model. The record is from RNAcentral. Lineage: Bacteria; Pseudomonadati; Bacteroidota.